Populus trichocarpa (black cottonwood) is the source of this 914-nucleotide long non-coding RNA. RefSeq lists it as uncharacterized. The record is from RefSeq and is a predicted model, not a curated record. The transcript is spliced from 2 exons. NCBI's taxonomy places the organism in Eukaryota, Viridiplantae, Streptophyta, Magnoliopsida, Malpighiales, Salicaceae.
CCCCCUCAUUCAUUCCUUAUUUCUGCAAAUAGGUACGUCUGGUCUUCUGCUUCCUCCUCCUCCUCCAAAUCUAUCCAUCUAUCUCACAGAUUGCUACUUCAAUACAAAACAAUACAAUGGAGCAGCACCAAACCAUGAUCAGUAUCCUUGCACAAGAGCGUCUACUGGGUGCCAUAUUGGGGGCUGCAUUUGCGGGUUUCCUUGUUUUUGAGCUACGAAAAAGCAUCUAUCAACCCAUUUCACCUAAAAACAAGGAAAGAUGAAACCCUGUCUAUCUAUCUAUCUAUUUCUUUAUCUAUUUUUCAACGAAUAGGUUACAUUUGCAAAAAACGAGAGAGUUACCUAAGGCUAAGAAUAGAAGAGGUUAGGCAUGCAAUUUCUUAUUGUAAGACCACCCUCUAGAUUUGUCUAAUGCUGAUAUCACAAAGUUGCUUGCUUGGUAAUACAAUACCAAAGCCAAAAAGAGACUUCCGAUUGGAUUGGAUUACAGAAUGUUUCUUUUAAAGAAACUUCUAGUAUAUAGUCGAUAAGAUCGAUCGUAAUGAUCUGUUACAACUGCAUUUCUAUUAUAAAACAUAUUGUUGUGAUCAAAAUUCUGAGUUUCAGUUUUAUGAUGCACAAGACUUGUAAUAUGGUCCCCUUUGGUUGAUACUUUAGUGCGCUGCUGGGCGGCCAAGGGUUGUUCUUACUCGUUUAGAUACAGGAUGGAUAUUGUAUGACCUGAUAAGAUAACUAUGCUUCUGUGUGUAUGGUGUUUCGCUCCUUGUCAAGUGAGAUACUAGGGGAUUCAGGUUGUUGACAUUAAAAUCUAGCCUUUCUGCUACAUAUGGUGUUUGAAAGCAUUUAUACUCCCUCUUUCAUCAUCAAUAGACACCAUUUGUACGCAUAGCCAUUUAUUCAAGAUUUUUUCUCCA